RNAcentral lists this long non-coding RNA (757 nucleotides) under Selaginella moellendorffii. RNAcentral describes it as "long non-coding RNA (SMOE_LNC000121)". Lineage: Eukaryota; Viridiplantae; Streptophyta; Lycopodiopsida; Selaginellales; Selaginellaceae. The record is from RNAcentral.
UAUACGAUAUACGAUACAUGGGCUGGAUUUAGUGGUCUCUGCCGAGCAUGGGCAUAUGACUAUUCCGCGAUUGCUCCUCUGGCAACGUAAGCGCAUUCUACGGUUCACUGCAGCCAUGGUAAAGAAAAGUGAAGCUCAGCCAGUGAUGAAUGCCAGACGCUCAAACUUCCACUGGCCCACACUUGCUUGAACUGUGAACUUCAAGCGGACAGAUCUCGCAACCCAGCCGUUAGAUCUUCUUGAAAUCUCGUAGGUGCAGUCUCCUUGGUGUCUUCUAGCUCACAGUUUUGAUUGCUCCCUUUCCCUCCGUUUUGCGGAGCUCAGCAGCAGAAGCUCCCGCAAGGUAAGUGCCCUGGCAGUGGCUCAAUGGCUCAUGGUUUUGAUUCCCAGCUGCAAGCUUGAUGGGGCCGUGUGGUCGGGUCGGGAUCAUCUUUUUCCUCUCCAAAGCCUCCGCAAGUCCUUGUUUUCUACAGAGAGAUCGAUUACUCUCCCGGGAGAAAGACUGAAUGGCAACUGGAUUGUAAUUGUAGGAAUAAUGAUGAACAUGACAAGCAAGAUGAUUCAUAUCAGAAGUAGUCCGAAUCGUGAUCAGAUCUCUGGUGAUUUUUUAUUUGAUUAAAGUUGUAUAUAUAUACAACCAUACAUGAAUCAAAAGUGAAAUCUGUUGUUCUUGCUCCACUUUUCUUUCAUGGUAUCGGAGCUCAGUUUCUGAAUUCUUUCUUCUCCUUUCUUUGUGCCUCACAUCAUGAGCUGCAGC